UGAUUUUUGCCUAUAGUGUCCUAAAAAUAUU
RNAcentral lists this non-coding RNA (31 nucleotides) under Mus musculus (house mouse). The record is from RNAcentral. Lineage: Eukaryota; Metazoa; Chordata; Mammalia; Rodentia; Muridae.